Molecule: ribosomal RNA, 206 nt
Filed under: uncultured bacterium
Lineage: Bacteria
Description: partial 16S ribosomal RNA
Rfam family: Bacterial small subunit ribosomal RNA
Source: RNAcentral
CAUGUAGGCGGCUUAAUAAGUCGAGCGUGAAAAUGCGGGGCUCAACCCCGUAUGGCGCUGGAAACUGUUAGGCUUGAGUGCAGGAGAGGAAAGGGGAUUUCCCAGUGUAGCGGUGAAAUGCGUAGAUAUUGGGAGGAACACCAGUGGCGAAGGCGCCUUUCUGGACUGUGUCUGACGCUGAGAUGCGAAAGCCAGGGUAGCGAACG